UAAAGGAGAUGGAAACCCAACUUGUCGAAUUGAACGCAGCGAUAGCUUUUUUGUCUAUGAAAAUAUACCUGCUUUCAACUGGAGGCAACAUGGUUGUAAAGAAAAAGACUAAGAUAGGCUCGAAUCCUUUAAACUCAAAUAAAGGAAAAAGGAAAAUUAGAUUCGGCCCUAUUCCUAUAACUAGAUCUAGAAGAGUAUGGCGGGUCAAAAGGAAGUCUAGGUUAUUUGAAGUGGGUUCUACGUCGGGUAUCGGCGUAGAGACAUCUAUAAUAGAAUGUCAUUCACCUUGUGUGACUUCUGUACCCAAAGAAACUAUGGCUCCCUCAUUGGAGUUGAAGGAAAAUGAUGUCAUACCAUUGGUGAAGGGACCCGCUGAAGUUGCACAUAAAGGGUCACCAGAGGUGAAGGGACUUGAUGUCAUACCAUUGGAGAUAACCAAUGGAGUUGCUGAGGAGGUAUGAGAUUUGAACAUGGAUUUGGCGUUGGUGUCUUGCCUAGAGUCGGGAGUGCAGCUGGAUACUGUGUUUGGGGAUACUAUAGCUCCCUUGGUCUCUCAUCCUCCAAUAGCAGAUUGAAUUCUGCCUAAAGUUAACGAGAUUCAACAGUUCGUGGGAAUUUCACAUGGAGGAUGUGAAGACCAAUUUAAAGAAUUAAUUAUUGCGAUCGAGGCAAGCCACUCGCUUGAAACCAAAUCAAGUUUCAAGAAAAGCAAGGAGUUACAGCGUCUUUUUUCUACAAUCAACUACGACGCUAAGGGUGAUAGCUCAACUAGAGGAAAGUCUAAAAGGAGGGCAUUGUGAAGACGGGAAACAAGAGGUUGGGGUCGGACUUGGUGUAUUUUGGGUUGUUUUUCAUGGACUUUUUGGGUUAAUAGGGGUUUUCUAUUAUGGGCAAAGUGUUCUCUUGUAUACAUCAGUGUACUUGGUUACUCCUUUUGAUAUAUAUAUAAUAUUUUU
Molecule: long non-coding RNA, 956 nt
Organism: Juglans microcarpa x Juglans regia
Lineage: Eukaryota; Viridiplantae; Streptophyta; Magnoliopsida; Fagales; Juglandaceae
Exons: 2
Source: RefSeq, a predicted model, not a curated record